This 385-nucleotide ribosomal RNA is filed under the name uncultured bacterium. RNAcentral's name for it is "bacterial SSU rRNA". It matches the Rfam family "Bacterial small subunit ribosomal RNA", at positions 30 to 415 of the family's 1533-position model. The record is from RNAcentral.
AUUGAACGCUGGCGGCAUGCCUUACACAUGCAAGUCGAACGGCAGCACGGGAGCAAUCCUGGUGGCGAGUGGCGAACGGGUGAGUAAUAUAUCGGAACGUGCCCAGUCGUGGGGAUAACGUAGCGAAAGCUACGCUAAUACCGCAUACGAUCUAUGGAUGAAAGCGGGGGAUCGCAAGACCUCGCGCGAUUGGAGCGGCCGAUAUCAGAUUAGGUAGUUGGUGAGGUAAAGGCUCGCCAAGCCGACGAUCUGUAGCUGGUCUGAGAGGACGACCAGCCACACUGGGACUGAGACACGGCCCAGACUCCUACGGAGGCAGCAGUGGGGAAUUUUUGGGACAAUGGGCGCAAGCCUGAUCCAGCAAUGCCGCGUGCAGGAUGAAGCU